Molecule: ribosomal RNA, 714 nt
Filed under: uncultured Candidatus Nitrosopumilus sp.
Lineage: Archaea; Thermoproteati; Nitrososphaerota; Nitrososphaeria; Nitrosopumilales; Nitrosopumilaceae
Description: bacterial SSU rRNA
Rfam family: Archaeal small subunit ribosomal RNA
Source: RNAcentral
CGAGUCAUUGUAGCAAUACAAGGCAUACGGCUCAGUAACGCGUAGUCAACCUAACCUAUGGACGGGAAUAACCUCGGGAAACUGAGAAUAAUGCCCGAUAGAACAUUAUGCCUGGAAUGGUUUAUGUUCCAAAUGAUUUAUCGCCGUAGGAUGGGACUGCGGCCUAUCAGUUUGUUGGUGAGGUAAUGGCCCACCAAGACUAUUACAGGUACGGGCUCUGAGAGGAGUAGCCCGGAGAUGGGUACUGAGACACGGACCCAGGUCCUAUGGGACGCAGCAGGCGAGAAAACUUUGCAAUGUGCGAAAGCACGACAAGGUUAAUCCGAGUGUUUCCUGCUAAAGGAAUCUUUUGUUAGUCGUAGAACCACUGAUGAAUAAGGGGUGGGCAAGUUCUGGUGUCAGCCGCCGCGGUAAAACCAGCACCUCAAGUGGUCAGGAGGAUUAUUGGGCCUAAAGCAUCCGUAGCCUGUUUUGUAAGUCUUCGGUUAAAUCCACAUGCUUAACAUGUGGGCUGCCGGAGAUACUGCAAAACUAGGGAGUGGGAGAGGUAGACGGUACUUGGUAGGAAGGGGUAAAAUCCUUUGAUCUAUUGAUGACCACCUGUGGCGAAGGCGGUCUACCAGAACACGUUCGACGGUGAGGGAUGAAAGCUGGGGGAGCAAACCGGAUUAGAUACCCGGGUAGUCCCAGCUGUAAACGAUGCAGACUCGGUGA